AGUGAACGCUGGCGGUAGGCCUAACACAUGCAAGUCGAACGGCAGCACAGUAAGAGCUUGCUCUUACGGGUGGCGAGUGGCGGACGGGUGAGGAAUACAUCGGAAUCUACUUUUUCGUGGGGGAUAACGUAGGGAAACUUACGCUAAUACCGCAUACGACCUACGGGUGAAAGCAGGGGAUCUUCGGACCUUGCGCGAUUGAAUGAGCCGAUGUCGGAUUAGCUAGUUGGCGGGGUAAAGGCCCACCAAGGCGACGAUCCGUAGCUGGUCUGAGAGGAUGAGCGGCCACACGGGAACUGAGACACGGUCCAGACUCCUACGGGGGGCAGCAGUGGGGAAUAUUGGGCAAGGGGCGAAAGCCUGACCCAGCAACGCCGCGGGAGGGAAGAAGGUCUUCGGUUGGUAAAACCCUUUUUUGGGAAAAGAAAAGAAGCGGAUGAAACCCCGGUGUUCGUGACGGUACCAAAAAAGAAAGCCCCGGCUAACUUCGUG
This 492-nucleotide ribosomal RNA is filed under the name uncultured bacterium. RNAcentral's name for it is "partial 16S ribosomal RNA". It matches the Rfam family "Bacterial small subunit ribosomal RNA", at positions 29 to 507 of the family's 1533-position model. The record is from RNAcentral.